RNAcentral lists this unclassified non-coding RNA (387 nucleotides) under uncultured Ascomycota. RNAcentral's name for it is "sequence contains ITS2". The stretch from base 1 to 154 matches the Rfam family "5.8S ribosomal RNA". Lineage: Eukaryota; Fungi; Ascomycota. The record is from RNAcentral.
AACUUUUAACAAUGGAUCACUUGGUUCUGGCAUCGAUGAAGAACGCAGCGAAAUGCGAUAACUAGUGUGAAUUGCAGAAUCCAGUGAACCAUCGAGUCUUUGAACGCACAUUGCGGUCGCCGGCAUUCCGGCGACCACGCCUGUCCGAGCGCCACUAAACCCCCCUCGAGCUCCCUUCUGAGCUCGGCGUUGGGGGACCGCUGGAACCCCAGCGGUCCCCCGAAACUCAGUGGCGGCGGCGCUGUGGCGCGACGCGAGUAGUAGCUUAACUCUCACGAAGCCCCUGCGUCUGCUUGUCGGCAACGAGCCCCCCAACAUAAUCUAAUGGUUGGCCUCGGAUCAGGCGGGAGUACCCGCUGAACUUAAGCAUAUCAAUAAGCGGAGGCU